Aspergillus coremiiformis is the source of this 95-nucleotide non-coding RNA. NCBI's taxonomy places the organism in Eukaryota, Fungi, Ascomycota, Eurotiomycetes, Eurotiales, Aspergillaceae. The record is from the annotation of a GenBank genome assembly.
GCCCUUAUAGCUCAGUGGUACGAAGCGCGUCACUCGUAGUAAUGAUAUCAUACUAGUGAAUGACGAGGUCCGCGGUUCAAUCCCGCGUGGGGGCA